This 256-nucleotide ribosomal RNA is filed under the name uncultured bacterium. RNAcentral describes it as "partial 16S ribosomal RNA". It matches the Rfam family "Bacterial small subunit ribosomal RNA", at positions 76 to 334 of the family's 1533-position model. The record is from RNAcentral.
UCAAACUGGAGAUGGCGACCGGCGCACGGGUGAGUAACACGUAUCCAACCUGCCGAUAACUCGGGGAUAGCCUUUCGAAAGAAAGAUUAAUACCCGAUGGUAUAAUCAGACCGCAUGGUUUGAUUAUUAAAGAAUUUCGGUUAUCGAUGGGGAUGCGUUCCAUUAGUUUGUUGGGGGGGUAACGGCCCACCAAGACUACGAUGGAUAGGGGUUCUGAGAGGAAGGUCCCCCACAUUGGAACUGAGACACGGUCCAA